This 377-nucleotide ribosomal RNA is filed under the name uncultured bacterium. RNAcentral's name for it is "bacterial SSU rRNA". It matches the Rfam family "Bacterial small subunit ribosomal RNA", at positions 29 to 408 of the family's 1533-position model. The record is from RNAcentral.
AUUGAACGCUGGCGGAAUGCUUUACACAUGCAAGUCGAACGGCAGCACGGGGCGAACCUGGUGGCGAGUGGCGAACGGGUGAGUAAUACAUCGGAACGUGCCCAAUCGUGGGGGAUAACGUAGCGAAAGUUACGCUAAUACCGCAUACGAUCUACGGAUGAAAGCGGGGGAUCGCAAGACCUCGCGCGAAUGGAGCGGCCGAUGUCAGAUUAGGUAGUUGGUGGGGUAAAGGCUCACCAAGCCGACGAUCUGUAGCUGGUCUGAGAGGACGACCAGCCACACUGGGACUGAGACACGGCCCAGACUCCUACGGGAGGCAGCAGUGGGGAAUUUUGGACAAUGGGCGCAAGCCUGAUCCAGCCAUUCCGCGUGCAGGA